UACGAAGGGGGCAAGCGUUGUCCGGAUUUACUGGGCGUAAAGGGCGUGCAGGCGGUCUGUUAAGUGCAGGGUGAAAGCUCCCGGCUCAACUGGGAGAGGUCCUUGCAUACUGGCGGACUUGAGGGGGGUAGAGGAAAGUGGAAUUCCCGGUGUAGUGGUGAUAUGCGUAGAUAUCGGGAGGAACACCUGUGGCGAAGGCGGCUUUCUGGGCCCUACCUGACGCUGAGACGCGAAAGCGUGGGGAGCGAACCGG
RNAcentral lists this ribosomal RNA (253 nucleotides) under uncultured bacterium. RNAcentral describes it as "partial 16S ribosomal RNA". It matches the Rfam family "Bacterial small subunit ribosomal RNA", at positions 524 to 776 of the family's 1533-position model. The record is from RNAcentral.